This 7135-nucleotide long non-coding RNA is filed under the name Lactuca sativa (garden lettuce). Its description in RNAcentral is "long non-coding RNA (LSAT_LNC005230)". Lineage: Eukaryota; Viridiplantae; Streptophyta; Magnoliopsida; Asterales; Asteraceae. The record is from RNAcentral.
UGAACUUGCACCCCCUUCGGAGUUACAUACCCUCCUCUUUUCCUUUUCCACGGAACUCUCUUGAACAUAAUGCCACUCCAACCGGUGCCACGGUGCUCGCCCCAAGCGACACCACCCUUUUUGCGUAACUGCUAUCCACAUACUCUGGUUCUCAUUGCAGGGGCUCUCAAUCCCAUGCACUCUCUCCACUCAUCAAAAUCACUGCCUCCGCUAAACAAGAUCAAUAACCCGGGGCCAGACCUUCCAAUGCAAUCACACUGCAACAUACGCGAUCCGCAAAUCUCAAACUAAUCCAGCAAUACCAACAGAGUCUCCAGUAUGACUGGACCGACUCUCAUAACACAUACUAGCCACUCGAGGCUAUAUCUCUGUGGGUCCGUACACCCAAACUCUGCGAACCCUCAGGUUCUAACUCUGGGAACCUUCCGGUUCCAGCUCUAGAAACAUGCACAACAUAAUCCCGUGGGAUUAAUGCAGUACAACCCAUCACGUACCUCAAACGUACCAAUACUCUGAUCGCAAAAUUCCGAUUACUUACUCAAGCUUGAUCCCGACCUCCUCUCAGGCCUCCACAAUCAAAUGCCCUAGGUCUGUAUCUCGCCCCGCAUACUCAACACUCGCUCUCGUCGGCCUAUACUUUGCGCUGACAAACACUGCUGAAUCCCAACAGCUAAGCACCCUUACAUACUCAUCGAUCUCCCGGAGAAUUUUACAAUUCUCCCCCACUAAAGCACUGACUAACUGCCACCGGUCGUCAUUAACGACCUUACAGAACAAUCCUGUACAAAGAGAACAAUUACACACUGACUGCUUCCCACAAGCACAAGCAACCCUCAGCAAAACACACCUCCUCCCUGAUCAACCCACUCACAAGAAUCUAGUCCUUCAAUCAUCCACUCCACGACUGUAGAUGCUACCCGACAAUCAACCCAGUGCCGCAUCUCCCCUAACAACCCCCACGAACGAUAACCAAAGGAAUCCUCGACAAUAACCCAUAACCAAACUCACAAUCUGCCCAAAGGAUGAACACCACAUCGAAAACCGCACAAGACUACUGACACUAAAACACCAAUUAUAACCAUACCCAACCAUCAGGGAAUAACGAAUGCCAAAGCGAAAACCUGAAGCACCAAUCCAUAACCAUGCCAGACCCGCGAAACAACGAAUACCGCAUCGAAAUCCAUACAAGAUACCAGCACAAACAAUACGCCAAAUCAAUGCCAGACAAUUAAGACAUCAUGAAAGCAUCAUACCCGCAGCUGUCUCCGGCACUGCUCCGUCUCCCUCUGUCGCACGCAGAUAAACACGACCCUGAGCCCUCUGGGGCUCCGCUUCAUCCUGUCCUCCUCAAAUCCCGAAUUGGCACUGACUGCCAACUAUCCCGUGCACAGUGCCCCUCCUUUCCGCACUUGCGGCAUGCACCAUUGGGCCAACAAGCUCCGGUGCCAUCUCUCUCACACUUCCCACAAGUGUGACCGCUCCGAUCCCCCAUUUCAACGUCUACGGUCCUGAACCGUUUCGGCGCCGACUGCGACUGCAUCGGGGCCUGUCCCAGCUCACGCAACUGCAACUUAACCUCUAACUCACGCCACAUGGCGGCCUUCUGCAACUCCAACAGGGUCUCGCACCUCCGCGCAGACACGAACUGUCUGAUACCCCCUUGAGCUUACUCGAAUAUCGGGCAUCUGAGCCUGCUCCGAAGCGAACUCAGGGCAAAACAUCGCCCUCUCAAUAAACAUCCCGGUGCUCUCAGUCACCGACUCCAAAUCCUGCUUCAGCUUAAGGAACUUCCGAGCCAAUUUCUCCUUUUCAUCCCGCGGAACAUAGCGAGUACUGAACAUCCCUCUGAAUUGAUCCCAUGAAACCGCAGCCCUCUGCGCAUCGGAAAAUGACCUCGUGGUCAAUCUCCACCAAUCCUUCGCCCCGAGCCUCAAUAGGUUCAGAGCACACCCCACCCUCUGAUCAGCAGGGCAUAAACUCGUGGAGAAACACCCCUCCAUGUCUGAUAACCAUCUCAUAGCAACAAUCGAGUCCUGAACUCCAUCGAAUGUGGGAGGCUUCGCAUAAUAGAAGUCCCGAUACUGAAAACCCCGACUAGCCCCUUUCUUUGCCGUUGCUACAGCCGCUGUAACCGCCGCGGCAGCCGUCUCUGCGAAAGCCGCAUAUCGCUCAUCAAACUACUUCAAUCAUAGUGGUCCUGAUCGACCCAAACAAUUCUGGCGACUCAGCCCGCAACAAUGCAGCAACCUCAUCACGCCGGAUCUCGCGAAUCCUCGCAUCCCGCUCGCUCGUGCUCGUCCGAUCGAUAACCGGAUAACAAGAUAGCCACAAGCAUCAUCCACUACGAACCAUGGUACUCAUCCCAUGACAUCCUUCCUCAACAUGCUUCGGUGUAUGGUACCUGAACCAUAGCACCAUUCCUCAACCUGCUCCAAUGUAUAGCACUCGAACCACAACAUCUAUCUCAAUCUGUUCCGAUGUAUGGUGCCCUGACCAUAACAUCACUCUGUAUCCGCUCCGAUGUAUGGUAUCCGAACCAUAACAUCACCCCUCAAUCUGUUCCUUAGGACCUUCAGAAUGCCCCCUGUAUCAAGUAUGGGUCCUCUGCUUUCAGUAGUACGGGCCCAUACUACCUGCCACAUCUACCCAUACUUUCCACACGGACCAUCCCAGAGUUCCUAAGUAGCUGAUAAACCUGCUCUUUCACCCAUCUCAUCGCGCGUGCUCGCUUUCCAGCGAAAUCCUCUACUCUACCAGCGCACUCAUCUGGCUAGGUUUACUCCCUAGUCCCUUCCGCUGUCCUCCCACUUCUUUGCUAUCAGCUGCUGAAGAGUUCCUAAUGAUGCCAGCCCUCUACCUCCUGAGUAUCGUCAUACUCACUUAGUAGCUGACUCCCAUCAUCGAUAACUCCACAAAGCACAAAGCAAGCAGCAUUCGAGCAUUGAAGCAUACAUAGGACUCCCCAUCUGUGGUAGCUCCACCUUCUCGGCUCAUCCUCGGAAGUACCUCUGUACCCCGUAGCUUUACCCCUUGUGCGUUCUAACUAGAUACUCUCACUCAUCACAUACACACAAAAGCAUAACGCACAUAUAACAGCAAACCCUAGACUAAGGCAUCACAAAUCAGGCCACUCUAGUCCUAAGAUGUGAAAUACCUAGCCUGUCUCUAGCAUGCAAUAAUGUCUCAUAAAGUGCAUAAUAGAUAUUUCAUAAUACAAAAGUAAGGGUAUUUUGGGAAAUCACCGUUUGGCUCUGGCUGAUUGUACACACUGCUCUUUCUUGCUUUCUCUUUGAACUCUUAUUCACUUUUAGAAAACCAUUUAUUUGGAAAACUUUUUCUUACUUCCUCAGUUUGAGUCCAGAUUUACCCGUAGGCGCGUCCGAAUCCCUCAAACCAAGGCUCUGAUACCAAUUUGUAACACCGUGAUUUCCAAAAACAAAAUUUUCAUUUAAAUAAUCAAUUUAAUAUUAAAAACACUUGUUUAAAAUCUUAUUCACAUUCGAAUUACAAAACAUAGUUUCAUUUUCAUUAUAAUAGAAGACCAGGAUCCUCCAAAACACAACUCUUUCUUCGGUGUGUACAAUCGAACCGUUGCCAUCCCGCGUUACUGUAAGAACCUGAAACAACAUAACAUAAACAACGUAAGCACGAAGCUUAGUGAGUUCCCCAAUAUACCUUACGCACAUACGCCUUCCGGCCCGGACCUUUCGGUCCACAUAACAUUGCCUUCCGGCCCGGACCUUUCGGUCCACAUAACAUUGCCUUCCGGCCCGGACCUUUCGGUCCACAUAACAUUGCCUUCCGGCCCGGACCUUUCGGUCCACAAUAUAUAUCGCCUUCCGGCCCAUAAGAUAAUUGCCUUCCGGCCCAUACACAUAUAUAACACAUAAUACAAAUACUCUAACACAUAAAGCACAUAUAUCAUAUAUCAUACCUGACCUUUCUGUCACAUAAUACCUUGCCUUCCGGCCCAUAUAUAAGCAUGUAUAUCACGCGUAGCAGCUAACUUUCCAUUUAUAGCAUAUAAACAUAACACAUAACAUACUUGACCUUCCGGUCACACAAUCAAACCCUUCCGGGUGAAGUAUAGUGAGAAGACUCACCUCGCGGACACUGGAAGAUAGCAACUCCUAAAAUCCCUUGCACUUGAUCCUCCGAGCUACAAGCUCCCUGUAACAUCAUAUAUCCCUUAUUAAUACUUCUAUCUUCCACGUUAACUGACCCUAAGAAAUCACACCAGUCAACUCUGGUCAACAGUCCAUUGUCAGCUCGACUGGACUCGGCGAGUUCCCUGGCGACUCGGCGAGUCUGGUCGUCCUUCAAUCCUCUGAGAUUCCCCUUCUACUCGUCGAGUAUCCUCUUUGACUCGACGAGUCACUCCUGGAAGAAUCGCGGGGCCACCCCGACUCCACUCGCCGAGUCUGAAGAACAACUCGGCGAGUCCCAGUGAAUCUUCAAGCUACUCGCCGAGUCUGAUCAUCCGACUCGGCGAGUCCACGCCAUGCAGUCGAUCAAACUGCUUCCUGAGAUACAUAUUUUCCCGAAUAUACAAACAUAGGACCUUCUGGACCUCUAAGGGGUACUAAUACAGGGUUAUAAACGUUGGAUAAUAACACAACAAUCCAUCUAACCCCAAAUGGGUUUCAUAAACCCUAAAUUCGUGUACACAUCAAAAUAACAGGAAUGAUCCGAAACAUAACCUGAAAACGUACUCUCUGUGUCCCCAAACCUCAGAACUCGACCCCCUUGCUCUUCCUUUGGCCAAAAUCCUUCCUCUUCUUGCACCACAAUUCCUUCAAAGUCAAUAAUGGCCUUCAAGUUUUGCUCCAGAUGCCACAGUCGUCUAGGGUUCUCCACAAUCGGCCAAAAGACGUGAAAUGACGACAUAACAACCCUUAAAUACGACCCAAUACGAAACGGCUAGGGUUUCUGCUGAACAGCGUCGACUCGCCGAGUCCAUACCUGGACUCGUCGAGUCCAGUCGCGAACCCGCGACCAAAUCUGCGACCCUACUCGGCGAGUCUGGCUCCAACUCGCCGAGUCUCCCCUUUAAAACACCCCAAAAUGCAAUUUAACAAUACUUGAGAUUUUGGGCUGUUACAAUUCUCCCCCACUAGAAUUAGACUUCGCCCUCGAAGUCUCACUCUGAAAAUAGUUCUGGAUGCUGCUCCCGCAUCACACGUUUCGGCUUCCCUAAACACUUCCGAUAUCUUCCGAGGCCGCUACUGAACCAAUACCAGAGGUACCUCCUUGUUCCUCAGAACCUUGAUCUUCCGAUCUCCGACGGCCACUGGCCUCUCGACGUAACACAGGCUCGCAUCCACCUAAUCGUUCUCUAGUAGAACCACUGCUGACUCAUCCGCUAUACACCUCUUCAACUGCGACACAUACCAGUGUCAUGGAUCCGUCCCAAUUCCGUUGACAGCUCCAAACGAUAGGCCACCCUUCCUACCUUCGCACCUUCACGAAAAGACCCAACAUACCGGGGCCCCCCAUUUACCCCUCUUCCUAAAUCGAAGCACCCCGUCAGAAAUACGAAGUCGCUGACCUGAAUCACAUGCUCGUAACGGCGUCUGCCUGCAUAACUUUCCUGUUAACUCUAGACGAUCACUAACUCUCUUUAACCUGCUGAGUCUGCUUUGUCAACUAAAGUACGAACUCUGAACUGCUCAUCACUCUCUGUAAUCGGAAAUUACCCAAGAUGCACUCUGCUCCAAAUCUCAACGAUCACUCAACCCAUAAGGGUUAGGAAACCCUGAACCACCGGAUCCCCGAUCCAAAGCCCACUUUGCCCAUUCCGGACCGACUGAGAGAUCCGUUCUCCCUCUCAGAUCAACUCUCACAAGUUCCCUCUUGCCAUCACAUACACAUACUGAACUAGUCCCAACACCCGCAGGUGGAAAGACCCGAUACACUGAUGAUAUCCUCGAACAUCUCCCAAGAUGAACCACUACAUCCACCCUACACUCUGAUCAGAUUCACACUGAGAAUUUAAAAUUUUCUCUCUCCAUGCAUCCCUUCUGAGCCUCAACAGACAUCCCAACCGGAUGGGUUCCUACUCCACUGCCGCGAACACGAUGCUCAAAACCAUACUCGAAAUACUCUAACCAUAACUCUGCUCUGCAGCUUUCACUUUCGUGAACUUGCACCCCCUUCGGAGUUACAUACCCUCCUCUUUUCCUUUUCCACGGAACUCUCUUGAACAUAAUGCCACUCCAACCGGUGCCACGGUGCUCGCCCCAAGCGACACCACCCUUUUUGCGUAACUGCUAUUCACAUACUCUGGUUCUCAUUGCAGGGGCUCUCAAUCCCAUGCACUCUCUCCACUCAUCAAAAUCACUGCCUCCGCUAAACAAGAUCAAUAACCCGGGGCCAGACCUUCCAAUGCAAUCACACUGCAACAUACGCGAUCCGCAAAUCUCAAACUAAUCCAGCAAUACCAACAGAGUCUCCAGUAUGACUGGACCGACUCUCAUAACACAUACUAGCCACUCGAGGCUAUAUCUCUGUGGGUCCGUACACCCAAACUCUGCGAACCCUCAGGUUCUAACUCUGGGAACCUUCCGGUUCCAGCUCUAGAAACAUGCACAACAUAAUCCCGUGGGAUUAAUGCAGUACAACCCAUCACGUACCUCAAACGUACCAAUACUCUGAUCGCAAAAUUCCGAUUACUUACUCAAGCUUGAUCCCGGCCUCCUCUCAGGCCUCCACAAUCAAAUGCCCUAGGUCUGUAUCUCGCCCCGCAUACCCAACACUCGCUCUCGUCGGCCUAUACUUUGCGCUGACAAACACUGCUGAAUCCCAACAGCUAAGCACCCUUACAUACUCAUCGAUCUCCCGGAGAAUUUUCUAAUUCUCCCCCACUAAAGCACUGACUAACUGCCACCGAUCGUCAUUAACGACCUUUCAGAACCAUCCUGCACAAAGAGAACAUUUACCCACUGACUGCUUCCCACAAGCGUAAGCAACCCUCAGCAAAACACAUCUCCUCCCUGAUCAAUCCGCUCAAAAGAAUCCGAUCUUUCAAUUAUCCACUCCACAACUGCAGAUGCUACCCGUCAUUCAACCCAGUGCCGCAUCUCCACUAUCAACCCUCACGAACGAUGACCAACGGAAUUCCCAAGCAAUAACCCAU